GAAAUGCGAUAAUUAAUGUGAAUUGCAGAAUUCAGUGAAUCAUCGAGUCUUUGAACGCACAUUACGCCCCCUGGUAUUCCGGGGGGCAUGCCUGUCCGAGCGUCAUUGCUGCCCUCAAGCACGGCUUGUGUGUUGGGCUUCCGUCCCUGGCAACGGGGACGGGCCCAAAAGGCAGUGGCGGCACCAUGUCUGGUCCUCGAGCGUAUGGGGCUUUGUCACCCGCUCCCGUAGGUCCAGCUGGCAGCUAGCCUCGCAACCAAUCUUUUUAACCAGGUUGACCUCGGAUCAGGUAGGGAUACCCGCUGAACUUAAGC
RNAcentral lists this unclassified non-coding RNA (314 nucleotides) under plant metagenome. RNAcentral's name for it is "partial contains 5.8S ribosomal RNA, internal transcribed spacer 2, and large subunit ribosomal RNA". The stretch from base 1 to 105 matches the Rfam family "5.8S ribosomal RNA", at positions 50 to 154 of the family's 154-position model. The record is from RNAcentral.